CGACCUGCUAAAUAGUAUGGCGAAUUCUCCGGGAUUCGUUUAUGACUUCUUAGAGGGACUAUUGGUGCUUUAGCCGAUGGAAGUUCGAGGCAAUAACAGGUCUGUGAUGCCCUUAGAUGUCCUGGGCCGCACGCGCGCUACACUGAUACGUUCAUCGAGCUUACAACCUUGGCUGAAAGGCCUGGGUAAUCUUUUUAAACCGUAUCGUGCUGGGGAUAGAUUAUUGUAAUUUUUAAUCUUCAACGAGGAAUUCCUAGUAAACGCUGGUCAUCAACCAGCAUUGAUUACGUCCCUGCCCUUUGUACACACCGCCCGUCGCU
Molecule: ribosomal RNA, 320 nt
Filed under: uncultured fungus
Lineage: Eukaryota; Fungi
Description: SSU rRNA
Rfam family: Eukaryotic small subunit ribosomal RNA
Source: RNAcentral